GCGCAGCAGGCGCGAAAACUUCACACUGUGCGAAAGCACGAUGAGGGAAUCCCAAGUGCUUGCACGUAAGUGUAAGCUGUUCCUCUGUCUAAAACGCAGAGAGAGUAAGGGCUGGGUAAGACGGGUGCCAGCCGCCGCGGUAAUACCUGCAGCUCAAGUGGUGACCGUUAUUAUUGGGCCUAAAACGUCCGUAGCCGGUUUAAUAAAUGCCUGGGUAAAUUGUGUAGCUUAACUAUACGAAUUCCGGGUAGACUGUUAAACUUGAGACCGGGAGAAGUUAGAGGUACUCCUGGGGUAGAGGUGAAAUUCUGUAAUCCUAGGGGGACCACCAGUGGCGAAGGCGUCUAACUAGAACGGGUCUGACGGUGAGGGACGAAGCCCUGGGGCGC
This 389-nucleotide ribosomal RNA is filed under the name uncultured microorganism. Its description in RNAcentral is "bacterial SSU rRNA". It matches the Rfam family "Archaeal small subunit ribosomal RNA", at positions 330 to 720 of the family's 1478-position model. The record is from RNAcentral.